UUUCCUCUUAGAAUGGUUGCUGGGUCUGAUAGGUGGCCUGGGGAGCUGUCGAGGAAGGGCAAAGCAAGCAGCCAUCACUUUGUGGGUGAGAUAGCAACAAGAUGUACUGUUGGUCUCAACAGUGAUGGGACAGAC
Molecule: small nucleolar RNA, 135 nt
Filed under: Choloepus hoffmanni (Hoffmann's two-fingered sloth)
Lineage: Eukaryota; Metazoa; Chordata; Mammalia; Pilosa; Megalonychidae
Source: RNAcentral